GCUCAAUGUAUGGUAUACAGCUUAAUGUACGGCAUACAGCUUAAUAUACGAUAUACAGCUUAAUGUAUGUUAUACAGCUUAAUAUACGGUAUACAGCUUAAUGUACGGCAUACAGCUUAAUGUAUAAUAUACAGCUUAAUUUAUGGUAUACAGCUUAAUGUACAAUAUACAGCUUAAUAUACGAUAUACAGCUUAAUGUACAAUAUACAGCUUAAUGUACG
This is a non-coding RNA of Pelobates cultripes (western spadefoot toad), 221 nucleotides long. The record is from the annotation of a GenBank genome assembly. Lineage: Eukaryota; Metazoa; Chordata; Amphibia; Anura; Pelobatidae.